AUUAUUUUGGCAGAUUAGUGCUUUAAAUUUAGAAUUUAAUAAUGUAAUUUUUUAUAUUACAAAUAAU
RNAcentral lists this transfer RNA (67 nucleotides) under Amaurodera yaoana. RNAcentral describes it as "tRNA-Leu". Lineage: Eukaryota; Metazoa; Arthropoda; Insecta; Coleoptera; Staphylinidae. The record is from RNAcentral.